CACAAACACCGCGUCCUCUUCUUCAUUGUUUGUCGUUACUCUCUCUCUCUCUCUCAUGGCUUCUCCUUCUCCCAUGGACGGUAAUCGAGGUUCCUUUGGUUCAAAAAGGUCUCGCAACGAUGCUUCGCGGAAAGAUGGAGACUGGACCUGCCCUAAUUGUGGAAACUUAAAUUUUUCUUUUAGAACUGUUUGUAAUAGGGGACAUUGUGGUGCGCCAAGACCACCUGCAACUCCACCUGUUCAAAUUACAAGCCCAUAUAGCAAUGGUCAUCCCCAUCAUCCCCACUUCUACUAUGGAGGUGUUGGGGCUCCUCCUCCUCCCCCACCAUAUGGUGUGUCAAGCAGGGUUGGAUCCCUCAUACCACCUUCUGGUGUACAGUAUGACUAUGGUCUUUAUACUAGGCCUCGUGUACCAUAUAGUCCAGUACCCUCAUUCCCACCUGUAAGCUUUGGAGGUAUUCCUUAUAGUCCGAGGCCCAGAAUCAACCCCUAUGGAUAUGGAUUUCAAAGUCCUCUAUGGGAUGCAGGAUUAACAGAUAAUUUUGCAUCUCGGAAACGACGUGGAGAGCUGGUCUUUUAGACUAUUGAAUUUACAAAACUUUGAGGCUCAAAUGUCCUUUACAACAAUCUCUUCACCACCGUCUGACAGGGGCCAGAUGGUUUAUCCCAAGGGGACUGGAUCUGUCCAAAAUGUGACAAUGUUAACUUUGCCUUUAGAACCACUUGCAACAUGAAACACUGUGGUGCUGCCAGACCUGGCCCAAGUCAACCAAAUACAAGUAUUCCUGAAGGUAGUUGGACUUGUAAAAAAUGUGGGAACCUCAACUACCCAUUUCGAAAUGUAUGCAACCGGAAAGACUGUGGAAGUGAGAGAACAGCCUCUACCAAUUAAACAUCAGCUUUGUAUAUAUGCAUCUUUAGUCCAGCUGUCUAAAGUAAAAGUUUUGGAUUAGAAAUAGAGAACUAGAUAGCUGUGAAUUUUAAGGGAAGGGCUUCCAUGAGGAUAAUUUUGACCUGGUUGUUAAAUGAUAAUUUAUUUUAGUUUUUCUAAUGAUAUUACAUGUGAAAAAUGUAUUGAGAAUCAAGCUAAAUUUUC
Molecule: RNA transcript, 1096 nt
Organism: Abrus precatorius (Indian licorice)
Lineage: Eukaryota; Viridiplantae; Streptophyta; Magnoliopsida; Fabales; Fabaceae
Gene name: ranBP2-type zinc finger protein At1g67325-like
Exons: 8
Source: RefSeq, a predicted model, not a curated record